UACGUAGGGCGCAAGCGUUGUCCGGAAUUAUAGGGCGUAAAGAGCUCGUAGGCGGCUUGUCACGUCGGAUGUGAAAGCCCGGGGCUUAACCCCGGGUCUGCAUUCGAUACGGGCUAGCUAGAGUGUGGUAGGGGAGAUCGGAAUUCCUGGUGUAGCGGUGAAAUGCGCAGAUAUCAGGAGGAACACCGGUGGCGAAGGCGGAUCUCUGGGCCAUUACUGACGCUGAGGAGCGAAAGCGUGGGGAGCGAACAGG
Molecule: ribosomal RNA, 253 nt
Filed under: uncultured bacterium
Lineage: Bacteria
Description: partial 16S ribosomal RNA
Rfam family: Bacterial small subunit ribosomal RNA
Source: RNAcentral